Molecule: long non-coding RNA, 2198 nt
Filed under: Malus domestica (apple)
Lineage: Eukaryota; Viridiplantae; Streptophyta; Magnoliopsida; Rosales; Rosaceae
Description: long non-coding RNA (MDOM_LNC012156)
Source: RNAcentral
UCGUAUGAAUACUCAGGGGACUCAAAUGUAAUUAUGUAAUAAAUGGAGGGGCACAUAUGUAAUAAGUGAGGAGCCCUUAUUCUAUAAAAGGACCCCUCACCCUCACAAUUGGGGGAGACCAAUUCCUAGGCCCUCUCAGAGCCUCACUCUCAUUACAGAGGCCCUCACACUCUCUCCCUCACAAUCCUCUCAGAAAUACAAUAUCAGUGUGGACGUAGCCCAAACCUUGGGGUGAACCACGAUACAUCCUGUGUUAUUUACAUUUCUUGCAGAUUCACGGUCGGAUUUACGUUGUUCCAAGACCUCCAGUUUUAUGCAUCAACACUUGGCGCCGUCUAUGGGAAACGAUACAAAAAGUUGUGUCGGUUCUCUUUCAUUUUUUCACCUCCACCGUGAAUCUGCAAAAAUCUGCAAAAACCCAGAAACAGAAAAGAUCAAGAUCUCAAAUCACUCAUCUCUCUCUCUCUCUCUCAAAGAAACACAACCAAGCUAAGAAAAAGCCAAUCCAUCCAUCUACAUAGAAAGAACUCAUUUUGAGUCUAAAUACAAAGGAGAAGCUUUAGCUAGCAUUCCUAAACACAUACACUCCUAUAUACUACCAAAAAAAAAAUCAAACACGAGUUAUACCAUAUAACUCUUACAAUAUCCGGGUCUUUGGGUAGAGAAUAUCUCUGAUGGGUUGGAGAUCAGCCAUGGCUGCCAAAGCCCAAGGUGACAGUGAAGAUGAUGAUCCUUGUCGUGCGGGCCCAUGGUGCUCGACACCCUCAUCAAGGUCAAGAAGGAGAUUGUGAUGGGAACGCCGACGCCGAGUCUCCAAAAAGCAAUGGCAAUAUUGGCGCAAGGGAUUAUGAUGGGAAACAGCUUAAAGCAUCGACUAGAUGCAGAGAUGAGAGUGCCCGUGAGUCGAAAGCUGAAAUCUGGAAGGUCCAGUUCAGGUUCUGAGCUAUUACUCAUAUCAUCUCAACAAACAGCGGAGCUCCGCUGUCGGUCCUACCCACCGCUUCCAGCGGAACGCUAGGCCACCACAUGACUCGGUGACUCAUCAAAAUCGGAGCCCAUGAUGUCUUUUCCGUUCCCAGCGACUUCAACUUAACGCUUCUCGACCACCUAAUCACCAAGCCCGGCCUUAACCUCAUCGGCUGCUGCAACGAGCUCAAAGGCGGUUAUGCUGCUGACGGCUAGGCGUCCGAAUCCGAGAGGCUCCAUUUGUGGCGUUCCGACAGUCCAGGUGAGCUGAUGCGGAGGCGGUGGGUGACUUGGAACUUAUGAGUUUCCAAGUGGACACGGGUGUACUAGAUCCGUCCCUCUUCCCAACCAGAAUCGCCUGCUUGAAUCUAUAAGUUCUGGAUGAUUGACGAUGACGACAACAUCGAUGACAAACAACCCCGCUUCUAGAUUUUUCCAUGGAUCAUCAAAUCCCCAGCAAGGUCGCCAUCUCCUUCCUCCGCCCUGUGAGUUUAUCUAUGUACUUCUUGCUGCCGUCUGGGAGUGUAUUUCGCCUUCAUCAUAUACCAAUGGUAGAAACCUGGCAUUUUUAUAUCGGAGAACCCAUAACGAUUAGGAGAUCUGCCCAACUACCAGUCCGCUGACGAUGAGCUCUCCGAUUACAAGAAGAGAACUUCGGCAAGGAUUCUGACCAAACCUUGUUAUUCUGACAAAACCAGGCCCAUUUUGUUCCGCCUUCAAGCUAUCUGGACUUGGCUUGAGCCUUGCAUGCUUGAUUUCAUGACUGCUGCUAUGAAACCCGACGAAAACCUUUUAUGGGCCCGUGAGAUUCUAGCCAAACUCGAUUUUUCCAGCCACCUAGAGGCUCUCUAGUACAAGCUUAUUUGGAUCAACAAAGGCUCAUCAACAUGGCUACUGAGCCUUGAAAAGAGGGAAAGUCCUGCCGACAAAAAAAUCAGAGAAUGAGCGAGGAGAGCACAUGGGGCAUGCACUUUCUUACCCACCAUAUGGAGGCCAAAUCUAGUCUGGUUGGUAGUGAGCCUUGAAAAGAGGGAAAGUCUUGCCGGCAGAAAAUUCAGAGAAAGAGCGAUGAGGGCACAUGGGAAACAAAAACAAAGCAACAAAGGUGCAGAGGAAAGGCAAAAGCAACAUAAACAUUCAUAAACAUCACUCAUGUCAACAUACAUGAGCAUCACUCAUGUCAACAUCCAUGAGCAUCACUCAUGUCAAUCAGCUUCAAAAGCUUCAUUUAC